This 234-nucleotide unclassified non-coding RNA is filed under the name Hevea brasiliensis (rubber tree). The record is from RNAcentral. Lineage: Eukaryota; Viridiplantae; Streptophyta; Magnoliopsida; Malpighiales; Euphorbiaceae.
UAAUUAAGCAUUCAAUAGUGUUUGCUUAAUGAAAAACAAUAAUGACAUGGGAAGAAAAAAAGUGUGUUCUUGAUUAGGGGCAAAUUGGCAUAAAGCUCUUUGCCCUUGAUAGCUCUCAGCUUCAGGGUGAGUCUUUUUCCUCUUCAUUCAUUUGUAAUUAAGUUCUUUAUGUCGCUUGUGUAUAGAAACAAGAAAGUUUAUUAUAGAAUGAUAUGUUGUUUAUAAUAUAUUGAG